GCCAACCUGGAGUAGUGGUUUGAGUCCUGGAUUAGGACUCUGGAGAGCAGGGUUCGAAUCCUGGCUUGGCC
This is a non-coding RNA of Phrynosoma platyrhinos (Desert horned lizard), 71 nucleotides long. The record is from the annotation of a GenBank genome assembly. Lineage: Eukaryota; Metazoa; Chordata; Lepidosauria; Squamata; Phrynosomatidae.